CCAGAGGACGGAUUAGGACCGCGGGGACUCUCUCCUUGUCCCGCAGCGCUUUACCCAAAUCUACUCUGCCUUUCCCUCCACACACACGGAGCUUCAGGACGCGCCAUCAUGACACAUGUAGGCCCAAUGUAAUACGACUUCGAAAGCAUAACAUGUACAAAGAAACGACACCAUCAAACCGACCAGGCGUGAUAGGAAGUUGCCACCUACACGGACUCAGGAGCCAAAGCCGUCCAGCGACAUAUAAAAAAACUAGACAUUCUAAACCUGAACAGGUCACAGAAAUGUGGGGAGAGGGCGAUGGCGACGACAGAGGGACAGAGGAGGGACCACACAAGGACAAACCCCGACUAGUGGGGACACAAUUCAACUCCAUGGUCAAUGGGAGGCUUUAGCCGUACUAUCUCUUGGAUCAAUUCAAGGGAAACGACUGAUAUCAGUCUCUCGUUGAACUCCCAAGGACAGAGUGCCACAAAACGAGUAAAAUGACAUCAGCGAUGGAGAGUGGACAACCGCAAGAACCGAACUAACCUUGUGUUGGAAUAUGGGUUAUAAUCAUGUUGAUUUAGCUCAAAAUUGGCGAGCAAAUAACUUCACAAGGCAAAAUCUACAUUUUAAAAAUUGUCGCCAUGGACCUUUGGCUUAGCCUAUGUAAGUAAUGUUGCAAUGGCUAUAGCUUAAUAAAUUGUGAA
This is a long non-coding RNA of Salvelinus fontinalis (brook trout), 692 nucleotides long. RefSeq lists it as uncharacterized. The transcript has 3 exons. NCBI's taxonomy places the organism in Eukaryota, Metazoa, Chordata, Actinopteri, Salmoniformes, Salmonidae. The record is from RefSeq and is a predicted model, not a curated record.